This 994-nucleotide ribosomal RNA is filed under the name uncultured archaeon. RNAcentral's name for it is "bacterial SSU rRNA". It matches the Rfam family "Archaeal small subunit ribosomal RNA", at positions 455 to 1448 of the family's 1478-position model. The record is from RNAcentral.
GUGCCAGCAGCCGCGGUAAAACCAGCACCUCAAGUGGUCAGGAGGAUUAUUGGGCCUAAAGCAUCCGUAGCCGGCUCUGUAAGUUUUCGGUUAAAUCUAUACGCUCAACGUAUGGGCUGCCGGGAAUACUGCAGAGCUAGGGAGUGGGAGAGGUAGACGGUACUCCGUAGGAAGGGGUAAAAUCCUUUGAUCUAUGGAUGACCACCUGUGGCGAAGGCGGUCUACCAGAACACGUCCGACGGUGAGGGAUGAAAGCUGGGGGAGCAAACCGGAUUAGAUACCCGGGUAGUCCCAGCUGUAAACUAUGCAAACUCAGUGAUGCAUUGGCUUGUGGCCAGUGCAGUGCCGCAGGGAAGCCGUUAAGUUUGCCGCCUGGGAAGUACGUACGCAAGUAUGAAACUUAAAGGAAUUGGCGGGGGAGCACCACAAGGGGUGAAGCCUGCGGUUCAAUUGGAGUCAACGCCAGAAAUCUUACCCGGAGAGACAGCAGAAUGAAAGGUCAAGCUGAAGACUUUACCAGACAAGCUGAGAAGUGGUGCAUGGCCGUCGCCAGCUCGUGCCGUGAGAUGUCCUGUUAAGUCAGGUAACGAGCGAGAUCCUUGCCUCUAGUUGCCACCAUUACUCUCAGGAGUAGUGGGGCGAAUUAGCGGGACUGCCGUAGUUAAUACGGAGGAAGGAGAGGGCCACGGCAGGUCAGUAUGCCCUGAAACUCUGGGGCCACACGCGGGCUGCAAUGGUAACGACAAUGGGUUCCGAAUCCGAAAGGAGGAGGUAAUCCUCAAACGUUACCACAGUUAUGACUGAGGGCUGCAACUCGCCCUCACGAAUAUGGAAUCCCUAGUAACUGCGUGUCAUUACCGCGCGGUGAAUACGUCCCUGCUCCUUGCACACACCGCCCGUCGUUUCAUUGAAGUUUGCCUUUAGCGAGGUGACGUCUUAUUGGCGUUAUCGAACUUGAGGUAAGCGACAAGGGAAAAGUCGUAACAAGGUAACC